Long non-coding RNA from Gasterosteus aculeatus aculeatus (three-spined stickleback), 472 nucleotides. NCBI's taxonomy places the organism in Eukaryota, Metazoa, Chordata, Actinopteri, Perciformes, Gasterosteidae. The record is from Ensembl.
UGAGGAACUGGGGGACUUGAUUUCACAGGGGUGGAUAGAGAAACUCCCAUGAAUGUACCACUCAUUGUUUGAGUAAGAGAGAAAAGAGUCUCGUUAUGUUGGUGCGUGGCUAUUCUGUUAAACUGCAAGACUCCCCCUGCGUCCAGGAUGCCAUGGAUGACCUUGAAAAGAAACACCAUGUUUGUACUAUUAGGCAAUUUAAGGCAGGGCGGGACGGCUGAGAGGAGCGCUCUCUCACCACUCUCACCAGUGGCUAAUUAACAAUGUGGCCCCAGUUAAAGUCUGCUGUCUCCCGGGCUCCCGUGUCGGAUUAUUGUCUCCCAUCGACGCAACGCGCAUGCCAGCGUGUUUGCUCAGCCUGCGCUCUGUACCCUGCCCAGCCUUCCACCGAACCUGCCAGCAGCCCACCCCCGGGCCUCUCCUCACGAUCCCCUGGACACGAGACCCCCUGAAUAAAUCCUUUCUUUUUGAC